UACGUAGGGUGCAAGCGUUGAUCGGAAUUACUGGGCGUAAAGCGUGCGCAGGCGGUUUUGUAAGUCUGUCGUGAAAGCCCCGGGCUCAACCUGGGAAUUGCGUUGGAGACUGCAAGGCUAGAAUCUGGCAGAGGGGGGUAGAAUUCCACGUGUAGCAGUGAAAUGCGUAGAGAUGUGGAGGAACACCGAUGGCGAAGGCAGCCCCCUGGGUCAAGAUUGACGCUCAUGCACGAAAGCGUGGGGAGCAAACAGG
Molecule: ribosomal RNA, 253 nt
Filed under: uncultured bacterium
Lineage: Bacteria
Description: partial 16S ribosomal RNA
Rfam family: Bacterial small subunit ribosomal RNA
Source: RNAcentral